AUGGUUAAUAAUGGAUAGUUUUCUCUCUCUGGGUGAGGCUUAUCCAUUGCACACCUGAUAUGCUGACCCCUGCGAUUUCCCCAAAUGUGGGAAAGUUGCCCGCCUAAUUUGUGGUAAUGGGGGACUGUGAGUUCCUGCUUUCCCCUG
Small nuclear RNA from Chlorocebus sabaeus (green monkey), 147 nucleotides. Its record names the gene U1. It matches the Rfam family "U1 spliceosomal RNA". Rfam says of the family: U1 is a small nuclear RNA (snRNA) component of the spliceosome (involved in pre-mRNA splicing). Its 5' end forms complementary base pairs with the 5' splice junction, thus defining the 5' donor site of an intron. NCBI's taxonomy places the organism in Eukaryota, Metazoa, Chordata, Mammalia, Primates, Cercopithecidae. The record is from Ensembl.